GUCCGGAUAGUGUAGGGGACUAUCAUGAAGCCCUGUCGAGGCUUCGACCCGGGUUCGAAUCCCGGUCCG
RNAcentral lists this transfer RNA (69 nucleotides) under ANME-2 cluster archaeon. RNAcentral's name for it is "tRNA-Asp". It matches the Rfam family "tRNA". From Rfam's summary of the family: Transfer RNA (tRNA) molecules are approximately 80 nucleotides in length. The record is from RNAcentral. Lineage: Archaea; Methanobacteriati; Methanobacteriota; Methanomicrobia; Methanosarcinales.